Molecule: long non-coding RNA, 470 nt
Organism: Salvia miltiorrhiza (redroot sage)
Lineage: Eukaryota; Viridiplantae; Streptophyta; Magnoliopsida; Lamiales; Lamiaceae
Exons: 2
Source: RefSeq, a predicted model, not a curated record
UCAAGAGAAAUGUUUUCAAUUAUUUAUUUAUUAAAUUUUGAAAACCCGGCUAAGUGAAUCAUAGAAUAUUAAGCACUACACCAUGACUUAAGAUUAGAAUUCAAGGAGACCUAUUGAGAAUAGAAUUCUUGUAGGCUUUGAGCAUCAGGAGGAUUAGCACUGCUAUUCCGAUUCAGAGAUAAGGUUAAACGACAGGCUUUGCCUAGACAGGUUGGCUGGCCGGUGCUGACGGGACGGAGCUGAGGCUAGCGAUAAAUUCCUAUGAUAGACUUCCGCUGUAGCAAUUACUCAUAUCAGUCUUUUGUUUUCCCAACUUAAGAUCUUCAUGUUAAAUUUCAAAUGAUAUACCUGACCGAGCUUAGACUCUUCACUACUUAAUUUAUGCCAAUGAAUGUCGGUUGUUAGAAGCAUGAAACAAAACUUGUGAUCCAAAGGGGCAUAGCCCGACUUUCUAUCCUAUUUCGGGUUUU